AUGCCUCAAUCAUCUGAGAACAGCUCAGAUAAGAAAAUCUCAGUCAAGAAAAGGUCGGUAAAGCCUUCAAGAAGGCUCCUUGGAGAAAUCAUGAUUCCUACAUUUGUCCCAGUAGAUUUCAAAUUCAUGAACAAAGCCAGAGCACUCCAUGAAUACCUAUUCAGCAAAGAAGGACAGGACAAAUGCGGAGAUCUAAACGUAUAUAUUAGCUCGACGCGACCCGAUUGGAUUACAGGAAAACAAAUAAUGGAACAGCUAAAGAAAGGAGAUGGUGGACAGAUGGAGGGCUCCAUCGCAAAUGCAUUGUUCGACGAAUGGACAUCGCAGCAACAAUACAACACAACCGAUAAAGUCAUACUUCCCGCAGAAUUUACAAACCUCGUGCUCGGUGUUAAAAUUGGAGAAGAAGGAGGACUAGCAGAAUUCAAUGAGGAAGAAGCACUGAAAGAGUUUGCACCCGUUGUAAUAGGGGAGGAACUUUUAAAGAAAAAGCUGAUUAUGAUACCUCACAACACAGGUAAACACUACACAAUGUACGUGCUCAACAAGUACACGAACUCCAUCAACAUACUUGACUCACUGAAUUACAAACACGAAGACGAAAAAAAUUAA
Molecule: ribosomal RNA, 612 nt
Filed under: Triticum aestivum (bread wheat)
Lineage: Eukaryota; Viridiplantae; Streptophyta; Magnoliopsida; Poales; Poaceae
Description: partial small subunit ribosomal RNA
Source: RNAcentral